RNAcentral lists this transfer RNA (92 nucleotides) under Oscillochloris trichoides DG-6. RNAcentral's name for it is "tRNA-Ser". It matches the Rfam family "tRNA". Rfam says of the family: Transfer RNA (tRNA) molecules are approximately 80 nucleotides in length. Lineage: Bacteria; Bacillati; Chloroflexota; Chloroflexia; Chloroflexales; Oscillochloridaceae. The record is from RNAcentral.
UGGGCAGGUCGCAUAGUCCGGUCUAGUGCGCGGCACUGGAAAUGCCGUACAGCAGCAAUGCUGUCGAGGGUUCGAAUCCCUCCCUGCCCGCC